GCAUCGUAUAGUGGCUAUUACCUCAGCCUUCCAAGCUGAUGACGCGGGUUCGAUUCCCGCUGCCC
This 65-nucleotide transfer RNA is filed under the name Pteridomonas danica. It matches the Rfam family "tRNA", at positions 5 to 66 of the family's 71-position model. From Rfam's summary of the family: Transfer RNA (tRNA) molecules are approximately 80 nucleotides in length. Their secondary structure includes four short double-helical elements and three loops (D, anti-codon, and T loops). Further hydrogen bonds mediate the characteristic L-shaped molecular structure. tRNAs have two regions of fundamental functional importance: the anti-codon, which is responsible for specific mRNA codon recognition, and the 3' end, to which the tRNAs corresponding amino acid is attached (by aminoacyl-tRNA synthetases). tRNAs cope with the degeneracy of the genetic code in two manners: having more than one tRNA (with a specific anti-codon) for a particular amino acid; and 'wobble' base-pairing, i.e. permitting non-standard base-pairing at the 3rd anti-codon position. RNAcentral also lists the same sequence under 3 other names. The record is from RNAcentral. Lineage: Eukaryota; Dictyochophyceae; Pedinellales.